RNAcentral lists this ribosomal RNA (977 nucleotides) under Pediococcus pentosaceus. Its description in RNAcentral is "bacterial SSU rRNA". It matches the Rfam family "Bacterial small subunit ribosomal RNA", at positions 59 to 999 of the family's 1533-position model. The record is from RNAcentral. Lineage: Bacteria; Bacillati; Bacillota; Bacilli; Lactobacillales; Lactobacillaceae.
UAGUCGACGACUUCCGUUAAUUGAUUAUGACGUACUUGUACUGAUUGAGAUUUUAACACGAAGUGAGUGGCGAACGGGUGAGUAACACGUGGGUAACCUGCCCAGAAGUAGGGGAUAACACCUGGAAACAGAUGCUAAUACCGUAUAACAGAGAAAACCGCAUGGUUUUCUUUUAAAAGAUGGCUCUGCUAUCACUUCUGGAUGGACCCGCGGCGUAUUAGCUAGUUGGUGAGGUAAAGGCUCACCAAGGCAGUGAUACGUAGCCGACCUGAGAGGGUAAUCGGCCACAUUGGGACUGAGACACGGCCCAGACUCCUACGGGAGGCAGCAGUAGGGAAUCUUCCACAAUGGACGCAAGUCUGAUGGAGCAACGCCGCGUGAGUGAAGAAGGGUUUCGGCUCGUAAAGCUCUGUUGUUAAAGAAGAACGUGGGUAAGAGUAACUGUUUACCCAGUGACGGUAUUUAACCAGAAAGCCACGGCUAACUACGUGCCAGCAGCCGCGGUAAUACGUAGGUGGCAAGCGUUAUCCGGAUUUAUUGGGCGUAAAGCGAGCGCAGGCGGUCUUUUAAGUCUAAUGUGAAAGCCUUCGGCUCAACCGAAGAAGUGCAUUGGAAACUGGGAGACUUGAGUGCAGAAGAGGACAGUGGAACUCCAUGUGUAGCGGUGAAAUGCGUAGAUAUAUGGAAGAACACCAGUGGCGAAGGCGGCUGUCUGGUCUGCAACUGACGCUGAGGCUCGAAAGCAUGGGUAGCGAACAGGAUUAGAUACCCUGGUAGUCCAUGCCGUAAACGAUGAUUACUAAGUGUUGGAGGGUUUCCGCCCUUCAGUGCUGCAGCUAACGCAUUAAGUAAUCCGCCUGGGGAGUACGACCGCAAGGUUGAAACUCAAAAGAUUGACGGGGCCCCGCACAAGCGGUGGAGCAUGUGUUUAAUCGAGCUACGCGAGAAUCCUACAGUCUUGACAUCUCUGACAGUCU